UGAACGCUGGCGGCGUGCCUUAGGCAUGCAAGUCGAACGGGUCCGAUUCGUCGGACCAGUGGCAGACGGGUGAGUAACGCGUAGGAGUCUACCCUUUGGUGGGGUAUAGCUCGCUGAAAAGCGGGGUAAUACCGCAUGAACUCGUGAGAGUAAAGGCCGUAACUGGUCGCCGAAGGAGGAGCCUGCGUCCUAUCAGCUUGUUGGUAAGGUAAUGGCUUACCAAGGCUAUGACGGGUAGGGGGCGUGAGAGCGCGACCCCCCACAAGGUCACUGACACACGGGACCUACACCUACGGGUGGCAGCAACCGGGAAUAUUGCGCAAUGGGCGAAAGCCUGACGCAGCGACGCCGCGUGGUGGAAGACGCCUUAUGGGGUGUAAACACCUUUUACGAGGGAAGAAGAUCUGACGGUACCUCGUGAAUAAGGACCUGCAAGCUACGUGCCAGCAGCAGCGGUAAUACGUAGGGUCCAAGCGUUAUCCGGAUUUACUGGGCGUAAAGUGUUCCGUAGGCGGUGGUUCAAGUAUGUCGUUAAAUCCCGAGGCUCAACUUCGGAAGGGCGAUGUAAACUGGACUACUUGAGGAUGUUCGGGAGUGCUGGAAUUCAUGGUGGAGGGGUGAAAUCCGUUGAUAUCAUGAAGAACACCGAGGGCGAAGGCAGGCACUUAGAACUUUCCUGACGCUGAUGGACGAAAGCUAGGGGAGCGAAAGGGAUUAGAGACCCCUGUAGUCCUAGCCGUAAACGAUCCUUACUAGAUGGUCCGAUUUAUUGGGCUGUCGCAAGCUAACGCGUUAAGUAAGGCGCCUGGGGAGUACGGCCGCAAGGCUAAAACUCAAAGGAAUUGACGGGAGAGCGCACAACCAGUGGAGCAUGUGGUUUAAUUCGACACAAAGCGUAGAACCUUACCUGGGUUUGACAUGACUCUGCACGUCUUGCGAAAGCAAGAUUCUUUCGAAGGUGAGUCACAGGUGGUGCAUGGCUGUCGUCAGCUCGUGUCGUGAGAUGUCCGCUUCAGUGCGGUAACGAGCGCAACCCUUGCCGUGUGUUGUAUAUUCACACGGGACUGCCGUGCUACAAGCACGGAGGAAGGCGAGGAUGACGUCAGGUCAGCAUGUCCCUUAUAUCCAGGGCUACACACAUCCUACAAUGGGGAGGACAACGGGUCGCGACGCCGCAAGGCUGAGCUAAUCCUUCAAACCUUCUCUCAGUUCGGAUUGCAGGCUGCAAUUUGCCUGCAUGAAGUUGGAAUUGGUAGUAAUCGUGGGUCAGCAGACCGCGGUGAAUACGUUCUCGCUCUUUGUACACACUGCCCGUCAAGCCAGCGAAGUUGGCAGUGCCCGAAGUGGUCCGAUUUAUCGGACUCCUAAGGCAAGGUCAGCGAC
RNAcentral lists this ribosomal RNA (1383 nucleotides) under uncultured bacterium. RNAcentral describes it as "bacterial SSU rRNA". It matches the Rfam family "Bacterial small subunit ribosomal RNA". The record is from RNAcentral.